UCAAAGAUUAAGCCAUGCAUGUGUCAGUACAAACUAAACUAAAGUGAAACCGCGAAUGGCUCAUUAAAUCAGCUAUGAUUCCUUGGAUCUGUACACCCAGUUUCCUUGGAUAACUGUGGUAAUUCUAGAGCUAAUACAUGCACAUAUAGUCCCUAACCUUACGGGAAGGGCGCUUUUAUUAGUAUCAAAACUUGUCGGGCUUCGGUCUGUAAACCCACUAGUGAUGACUCUGGAUAACUUUUAGCUGAGCGCACGGUCUUUGCACUGGCGCCGCUUCUUUCAAGUGUCUGCCUUAUCAGCUUUCGAUUGUAGGUCAUGUGCCUACAAUGGCUAUAACGGGUAACGGGGAAUCAGGGUUCGAUUCCGGAGAGGGAGCCUGAGAAACGGCUACCACAUCUAAGGAAGGCAGCAGGCACGCAAAUUACCCACUCCCGGCACGGGGAGGUAGUGACGAAAAAUAACGAUGCGAGACUCAUCCGAGGCCUCGCAAUCGGAAUGAGUACACUUUAAAUCCUUUAACGAGGAUCAAUUGGAGGGCAAGUCUGGUGCCAGCAGCCGCGGUAAUUCCAGCUCCAAUAGCGUAUAUUAAAGUUGUUGCGGUNNNNNNNNNNNNNNNNNNNNNNNNGGAGUGGAGCCUGCGGCUUAAUUUGACUCAACACGGGAAACCUCACCAGGCCCAGACACUGGAAGGAUUGACAGAUUGAGAGCUCUUUCUCGAUUCAGUGGGUGGUGGUGCAUGGCCGUUCUUAGUUGGUGGAGCGAUUUGUCUGGUUAAUUCCGAUAACGAACGAGACUCUGGCCUAUUAACUAGUCGACGGAUUUCCAUUAAUUGGUGUCCAGUUCGCAACUUCUUCUUAGAGGGAUAAGCGGUAGUCCUAGCCGCACGAGAUUGAGCAAUAACAGGUCUGUGAUGCCCUUAGAUGUUCUGGGCCGCACGCGCGCUACACUGAAGGGAUCAGAGUGUUUUCCCCCUCCGAGAGGAAGGGGGUAACCCGAUGAAACCCCUUCAUGAUAGGGAUUGGGGCUUGCAAUUGUUUCCCAUGAACGAGGAAUUCCCAGUAAGCGCAAGUCAUCAGCUUGCGUUGAUUACGUCCCUGCCCUUUGUACACACCGCCCGUCGCUACUACCGAUUGAAUGAUUUAGUGAGGCCUUCGGACUGUCGCUCUUGGAUAUUUCAGGCUGCGGAUACCUGUAUUGGGUAUCGUUAGUCAGUCAGUGCCUCCUAGAGCUGACGGAAAGAUGUCCAAACUUGAUCAUUUAGAGGAAGUAAAAGUCGUAACAAGGUUUCC
Molecule: ribosomal RNA, 1289 nt
Filed under: Typhlonida aff. typhle 1 AM-2022b
Lineage: Eukaryota; Metazoa; Arthropoda; Malacostraca; Decapoda; Munididae
Description: SSU rRNA
Rfam family: Eukaryotic small subunit ribosomal RNA
Source: RNAcentral